UCCACGUCGUAGCGUUGGUACGUGCUUUGGUGCAGGGCCUCUUCUCGAGCGCUGAUUUCCAGGGUGCUGUUCCAGAUGCCAUAUCCAAAAUAAAUGAGCAGACCUGUGGGGCGAGGGGAAAGGUACAGAUAAGUAAACUGAGACCCAAAGAAGUUAAGUAAAUCUCCCAAAGUCACAAGACAAAGGAGGGGCGGAGCUGUGAUUUGAAGUUGGUGCUGUUUGACUCCAAAGAUGAUGCAACUGAGCUCCAGAUCUGAAGCUGCGUAUUCAAUUAAUGGCAGAGUUUGGGCUAGAACUGAGGUCUCCUGAUAUCCAGCCUUAGCAGCUUUCUAAUUCACUCAUUCAUUUAUCCCAUGCACUGGUAAGGGAUCAUCUCUAUGUAUCUAUAUCAGCUUUUAAGGAUUCAAAGGUGAACAGGAAGAAUACAGUCUCUUUUUUGUGGGCCUUAUAGUAUCAUGGAGGAAACAGACCAGAAAACCAACCAACCAGAAGGACUGUCCAAAAGGAAAGAGGCUAUCAAGAAUUAUGAGAGGGAGUGGAGGCAGGUGUCCAAGAAAACAAUUUGCCAACUUUACAGUUUCAUUCAGGCCUCUGGGAUCAGCAACAACUGGAGUGUUGCUCAGAGGUUCGGUCAGGCUGCCUUAAGUGGGCCAUAGGUUGCUGAUAUCAGGCCCUAUUAGGUAUUUUGUGCAUACUGUGUCUUAUACUUCACACUGGGUAGGCAGGAAGGUUGGGGUGGGCUGAUCUAGCAAAUGGAUGAGGUCAGUGAUUUCUCAUCCAUGAAGUCAAUUCUUCCCAAGUGCCAACUAUCUGCCAUCUCCCAGACACAGGAUGGAAUCAGCCUUUGGGUUACACUGGUGAAAUUCACUACUUAGGCCCAAACAUGUCUUUAAGAAAGUCCUCACCAAAUACAGCAUUUUGCUGAGUUGUUACUUAUUUUCUUCUGAUUUUCUUACUUUUCUUAAAACAUCUCUGUUCCUUUUAUGAAGCCACAGUGGGGCUAAGACAUGCUGUAUAUGUCGCUAUUGUUGCUAGUCCUGCCUAAAUGUAGAUGGGGAGUGGGGUAUGAAGAGAAAUCACAGGACCUCAGAGAGAAAUGAAGUGUGAAUUCUCUCAGAAACAUUUGUUUUCUCUGUGACACUGAGCUCCAUAUGGUGGGUAGUGCAGUGUCCCCAUUAUUGCUGUCUUGAGAAGCAGGUUUCUGGGUCCUGAGAAACAUCUAUCCAGGCCCUGUCAUGUGCUGCUGGACCCAGUGAACCUGCACUGAUGUCCUCUUCCCGAUGCCCUUUGUUAGCCAAGAAAACUGUGGGUUUUUCAGGGAGUGAUUGGUCAGGUGCUCUGUCCCUUCAGCCUCACUGCUACUGUCUCUUCUACUUGAGCAACCUCAGUCACUCUAUCACCUGUCAGGGAAGCCCAGGCAAUUUUUACAAAUGUGUCUGAAGGAAAAGCAAUUUGUCUGGGAAUGCCUAUGUUUCUUUGUGUCUAAGAAGAGACUUAUGAUUUCACUGCCCAAGCAGGCGCCAGGUGGACAGUAACCACCUGUGUUUAGGGGACAGGCAGCAUCAUUAAUCAGGGGUGUAUGACACCAUGUUAUUGAACCUGACAGGGCUCCAAUUAAAGUUGGGUAGGGAAUAGAGAACUCCCAAGUCUGCCAAACCACAGCCCCAAAUAUAUUAACAUAUAAACAGGUAGGAAAUAAGUUGUCCUUUGAGUCAGAGAAGUCACCCCCCAAAACAGGUCAAGGAAGUUUAAUAAUUUGUUGAUUAAAUGUAACCAACUGGCCGGGCACGGUGGCUCACACCUGUAAUCCCAGCACUUUGGGAGGCUGAGGCAGGCAGAUCACCUGAGGUCAGGAGUUCGAGACCAGCCUGACCAACAUGGCAAAACCCCGUCUCUACUAAAAAUACAAAAAUUAGCCUGGUGUGGUGGUGCAUGGUUGUAAUCCCAGCACUUUGGGAGGCCAAGGUGGGUGGAUCACCUGAGGUCAGGAGUUCGAGACCAGCCUGACCAACAUGGAGAAACCUUGUCUCUACGAAAAAUACAAAAUUAGCCGGGGGUGGUGGUGCAUGCCUGUAAUCCCAGCACUUUGGGAGGCUGAGGUGGGUGGAUCACCUGAGGUUGGGAGUUCGAGACCAGCCUGACCAACGUGGCAAAACCCUGUCUCUACUAAAAAUACAAAAUUAGCUGGGCGUGGUGGUGCAUGCCUGUAAUUCCAGCUACUCAGGAGGCUAAGGCAGGAGAAUCACUUGAACCCUGGAGGCGGAGGAUGCAGUGAGCCAAGAUCGCGCCACUGCUCUCCAGCCUGGACAAGAGCAAAACUCUGUCUCAAAAAAAAAAAAAAAAUAAUGUAACUGACCUGCAAGGUGUGGUGACUCACGCCUGUAAUCCCAGCACUUUGGGAGGCUGAGGCAGGCGGAUCACCUGAGGUCAGGAGUUCGAGAUCAGCCUGGCCAACGUGACGAAACCCUGUCUCUACUAAAAAUACAAAAAUUAGCUGGGCGUGUUGGAGGGCACCUGUAAUUCCAGCUGUUCGGGAGGCUGAGACAGCAGAAUUGCUUGAGCCCAGAAGGCGGAGGUUGCAGUGAGCCAAGAUUGUGCCACUGCACUCCAGCCUCAGCGACAGAGCAAGACUCUGUCAAAAAAAAAAAAAAAAAAAAAAAAAAGAAUGUAACCAACCUAUCUGUUUACUCUCUUCUCUAGAUCUCCCUCUAUGAAAAUAUUUUGGAGGUUAUUGAAGGUACGGUCUCUAUAAUAUGAGGAAUUCAAGUAUUAUCUUGUCUGGUCAUGCUGUUGUUAAUAAUCAUCAUCAGCGUACAUUAUUUUACUUGACUGCUUUAUCAAAUGAUAAUGAUGAUGGUAAUUGAUGAUGAUGGUUAUGAUGAUGCUCAUGUGGUUACUUUCAACUAAAGAAUCCACAGAGUUAUCUGUGCCCCAAGCCAAUCUUCUGGCCCAGAUUGGUCCUUCUUCAUUGUUGAAGCGGCAAGUGGGCUGGAACUGUCCUUUUUUCUGCUCCUAACAUUUUUAUGUGGGUGGCUUCAGGUUAUCAUCAAAGGCCACCUUGGAAGGAAAAAGUCACUACAAAAGGGAAAGGUGAAGGCACAUGUUUUCUUGGCAUCUACCUAUGCUAGACUCACUGUACAUGGUUUCACAUUUGAUGCUCAGACAACCUGGGAGAGAAUGCCGAGGCCAGCAUCAGCAGCCCCUUCUUAUUUUAGGAGAGGGAGUGAGGUGUCAUAGAAUUCACACAGCCUCUGGAGAGAGACCCAGAGAGUGGUUAUGACAAUGAAGUAAGAUGUUGCACACAGAUCACUUUGCUCAGUGCCUGGGCAUACUAAGUAAGUGCUUACUAAAGGACAAAUAGGCCGGGUGCAAUGGCUCAUGCUUGUAAUCCCAGCACUUUGGGAGGCUGAGGUGGGUGGAUCACUCGGGAGUUCAAGACCAGCCUGACCAACAUGGAGAAACCCCAUCUCUAACAAAAACACAAAAUUAGCCAGGUGUGGUGGUGCAUGCCUGUAAUCUCAGCUACUUGGCAGGCUGAGGCAGUAGAAUCACUUGAACCUGGGAGGUGGAGAUUGCGGUGAGUCGAGAUCAUGCCAUUGCACUCCAGCCUGGGCAACAAGAGUGAAACUCUGUCUCAAAAAAAAAAGAAAAAAAAAGGAAAAAUAAAAUUAUUGCUAUCUGUGGUCUGGAGCAGGUCACCUAAUUCAUUGACCCUGUUUCCCUACCUGGAAAAUGGUGAUGGUGAUAUCUACUAUGCAGGUUGUUAUGGGUCAUCGAAGGACAGGUGUUACAGUUCCUGACAUAUGUUAGGUACUCCUUCAGUGGGAGCUUAGGGCCAUUAUUCAUUGACGAGGAAGAGGAAUCCCAGAGAGCUUCACUUAGCAGUAGCCUGUGGAGUAUUUAUACAGGAGCCUUUGCCUCAGAGUGGGAUAAAACAGGUUGGAAGCAAAUAUUGUUGGCUGAUAGUUUUAGAGUCUCAGAGUUGGUAGGAAGGUUAGAAAUAAUCCAGAUUCUAGACCAAGCCCUAGGUGUGCUCAAUGCACUUCUAAAACAGAACCUGGAGAAGUUUCUUCCUAGGUUUGAAAUCUUUAAUCUAGAAACUUCUUGUUCUGUUCCACAACUGCAAUGAGAAAUUGUGAGGGUGAAUAGAAGUUUCCCAUUUUCUCACUCAACCUCUCUUUGUGAGACCUACUGACUGUCAUCCAGGGGACUCUUAUAACUGGACUAAAAAGGCUUUGUGCAGAAAAGGAAAGGAGACUUGGAGCUGAAGUGACAACCAACAAUUCUCUCCUACCCGAAUAUUUCUCAACUCAUCACUCUCAGGAAGCAGGCAGUGUCCCAUUUCUAAAGCAGGUGAAAGUGGCACCAACAGAGAUGACAGAUCUCAGAAGAUUCUGUGGGGGAUCAGCCAUACCUCCUGCCCUGAGAAUACAAUGGGCUGGGUUCAAGGUGAGUGCCGAGAGGACCCACCUGAGCCCUCACGUGGCCUCCCCAGCCCAGCUGAGGAGCAGGUGAGAUGGGGGUUCCACUGGGAGGGGACACAUUCUCAGAAGAUGACUAGGGAGGGGGAGCCACAGCUAAUCUUUCAUGGGCUUGCACCUGCUCUCUGUGGGGGGCCUUCCCAAAGACAUGAGAGACCCUUCAUGACAGGGAUGCCAACACACAGGGAGGGGAAGAACAGGGCCAGAGACUCCAGAUUUAGGAGGCUUGCAGGAGAGAAUCUUUUGGUGAGAUGGAUUCGGUUACAGUGCCUACUUCUGGUUCUCCCCCAUCCUGUGAUACAAACUUCUACCACUUUCACCUCCUUCCUUCUCCUCUCCCCUUUUCUACUCCCCCACACCUCAGAACUCUAGGCGGAUUCAGCCUUCUAUAGGGCACAUGUGUACAAUUUGCAUUUUAUGGCGUGAGUGUUCCCACCUGCUGCUGGUCCAUGAGGAUGGAAGGCUGGCAUGCACUGGGUAAACUGUGGCCGCAGUGUCUUCUGUGCACAGCUGACAAAGAGGGGGUUACGGGUUACUGUUCUUCCAAAGAAUCUCACCUACGUGGUCCUGAUGGAUUGUUUCUAGCUAAGUAGCUCCUACUGAAUGCAACAGCAAUAGUGAGUUUUGAGCUAAAUUUUGAACAAGAGAGCUCCAGUGAAUGGAAUAGUGACUCCCUUGGAUACACAGGGGGGCUUCUUGAAAGAGCUUUCCCACCAAGGAAAAUAGCAAGUGCCCUUGGCUGAGCUUAUAGUAUUUUGCCACAUAAGCACUCUCCUAAUUAAAAUAAUCUUAGAAAUGUUUUCAAAGGAGCAGGUGUUUGUAUCUAUGCUUCACAUAUAAGAGAAACUCAUUAUAUUGGUUAUUUUUCUUUAGAAGUCAAAGAAAUGAUAAGCUAGGGCAUUUAUAAACAAACUCUCAAGAGAAAUUAAUAUAGCCAAGGGCUAUUGUUGAAUUUAUUCCAAGUAGGAAAUGUCUAAAGAGUUAAUAAGAUCUACAGAUAUAUUUGUGCAAAUAUGUGUAUAUGCAUAUAUAUGUAAAUGUAUACAUUAUAUAUAUAUUUUCAAUUACUUUGCAAGGGACUUUUCAGGGCCAGGUCUAUGAGAGUGACGAGUGGUUAAGAAUAGUAUAUAAAAUGUCUGUGAUGCAUGUUAGCAAAUAAUUGCUUUUCACAUACAUAUUCAUGACUUUUAACAAGGCACAGGCACAGGUUGUGUCCAGGACAAAUGCAUUCCUUGGGUUGUUAAAUAAAGGAUCCAUUCUCUUGCUUGCUGUUUGCUCUUCUCCAUGCUAAUGCUUCCCUUUGCACUGUGGUGUUGGCCUUCAUCACACCCCAGAAAUUGCCAUCUCUAACCCACAAGCUGUCAACAGAAUGGCCUUUUAUCAGUGUCCCUGCAGCUUGUGAUGCAAACACUCAUUCCCUCUCUGUUCCCUUGUGUAAGAAUCUGUUCUUCGUUUGGUUUCACUCCCUUUCUUCUGCCCACUUCUUUUCUUUCUUCAUCAUUGCUUCUUAUUUAUCCAUCUCCAUCUGUGUGUAGUCAUUUAACAAAGUUCUCCCUUCAGUUCUUUUCUCUCCUUGCACCCCUUGCUUUGGUGAUCUCACCUCCUUGACAGGGCAAGUGUCAGGAGCUCUUUGAUUCCCUGGGGUGGCCAUGGCUCCUUGUCUGCAGCCUCUGUGAACUAGCAACAUGAGGAGUGGGCCAGAGUGUUCAAAGUAGAUGGCCUGGCACAUGCAAAUCUCCUGAGCUGCUGUGAUCAGCGAGUUAGACUCCACUCAGAAAGUCUGCUGUGCAGACCUCUGAGGGCAAGGGCUGGUGCUUGGCGUAACUCCCCUUCACGAGUUUUCAUCAACAUUCCUGUCUCAGGUGUUUAUCCCAUGGCUGUCAGCAGGUACCAUGCCUUACUUAUUUCUGCAUCUCUAGCAUCUAUUUCAAUGCACAAAGUUGAGGCUGCUUAACUAUCAUUUCUUCAGAAAAAGUACUUUGUCGUGAUACCUUGUUUAUUUUCCUUUAUAGCACUCAUCACUGUUUGUAAUUAUUAUACAUAUUUAUUCACUUGUUUUGAGGCACAGCCUAUUAACAAUGUGUUUUAAGGCAUAGUCUUGUUAAAGGAGGCUGUUCCUGUAGAGAAGAUAAUUCUUCUUGGGCAUAUACUUUCAGAGUCAAAAGCAUGCUCUUUGCACAGGGUUCAUCUGGAGGAAAGUGAGUAGGAGGCAAGUCUACCCAUUUUUUUGCUAGCGGUGGACUGAGGAGCUUCAGCAUUGGAACCAGGACUACUCAUUUGCAUUAAGAACCUAGUCUUGUUAGGCUGGAAACUGGCCAAUACUCUUGGUAGUGGUGAUAAUAAUACAAACAUUACUGAGCAUUUACUAUGUGCAUGGGCAUAUUAAGCACUUUACAUACAAAAACUUAAUCUUCACAAGAUGGUUAUGAUGCAGAAACUGUUAAAAUUUCCAUUUGCAGAUGAUGAAUCCAAGAUCUCAACAGGUUAUCAGGACUUCUCAACAUUUUCCAUAUCACAUAACCCACCUUGAAAAUAAUAUUUGGGCUAAGCACGGUGGCUCAUCCCUGUAAUCCCAGCACUUUGGGAGGCCGAGGCAGGUGGAUCACCUGAGGUCAGGAGUUCUAGACCAGCCUGGCCAACACGGCGUAACCCCAUCCCUACUAAAAAUACAAAAAGUAUCCAUGCAUGGUGGUAUGUGCCUCUAAUCCUAGCUACCCAGGAGGCUGAGGCAGGAGAAUCACUGGAACCUGGGAGGCAGAGGCUGCAGUGAGCUGAGAUCAUGCCACUGCACUCCAUCCUGGGCGACAGAGUGAGACUCUGUCCCCCACCCCCACAAAAAAAAUAUAUGUAUAUAUAUAUAUUAUGGAUAUGGAAAGGAUGUAAUGUAUAAAAGGGCGAGGCUGCUCACUAGCCUGGGGCCUAUAUCACUUUCCAGGUGUCCUAAAGCUGAAGGAUCCAUAUCUUGGCACACCUCUAACUUUCAGCAACCUGUUUGGAAAGCUCUAGGGUUAAAGGUAUUUCCCAAGUCAUACAAGGAGAAAAUGACAAAGCAGGGCUUGAACUGAGGCAGUUCAGCUACAGGGACUAAUUGCACCUGGCUCCCAGAUGCUAGCUGGGGUUAGGACGUGUGUUGGGGUUGGGGGGGAGUUGAGACAAUAGGCCCUUCUUUACAAAUCUUUCCCCUCUCUGGGUUGUUUUUCAUGCAAACUAAUGAGACAGGCAAUCUAAUUCAAACUCUUCAUUUUUCAGAGGAGGAAACCGAGAUCAGGACAUGUGAAUGACUUGCCUGAGGGCCCUGGACUGCUGAGAGUGAGAGGUGGAAUUAGACCUCAGGUGUCCCGACUUCUGACGCAGGCCUGAUUGUCUCUUGCAGCACUCACAAUUAUUUCACGUGUGCACGUCUUGUUUCUUCAUAUUGAUAUCAAGCCCUUUGUCUCAGAGUUCUUUCCCAUGUUCUGCAGCAUCUCCUGCUAUGCUGGGCCCAGAGAAGGUGGUCAGUCCCUCCCACAGCCAUGCUAGGUGCUCAUGGCAUGCACUGUCCACACUACUAGGUGCUGCAGAAGAUGUAAAAGAAGCCCAGGUUUUCCUGGCUUUGCUGGAGGAAACUCAUUAUCACCAUCAGCAAUUUAAGAAACUUGCAAAUUUCUAUUAAAAUGUGUUCACCUUCUCUGAAUUGGUAACUGACAUCCUUCCUACAGGGCUGUCAAUUGAUCCCUAUAUAGAAGAGCUACAUGAACUUUACAACACCUUUCUCCUCACUGCUGACAGGUGACAGAAAGAUGCUGAGCUUACAAGUCAUCUUCAUGACCUGACUUAGAGAAGUUUUGAUCUGGAAAAGUGCUCUACUAGUCAAUAGGGUGAGGUACAGGGUCUUUUGAAACCCCAAUAAAAGUGAGCGUUCCUUGAUU
Molecule: long non-coding RNA, 8389 nt
Organism: Gorilla gorilla gorilla (western lowland gorilla)
Lineage: Eukaryota; Metazoa; Chordata; Mammalia; Primates; Hominidae
Exons: 3
Source: RefSeq, a predicted model, not a curated record